This 486-nucleotide ribosomal RNA is filed under the name uncultured bacterium. RNAcentral's name for it is "bacterial SSU rRNA". It matches the Rfam family "Bacterial small subunit ribosomal RNA", at positions 15 to 518 of the family's 1533-position model. The record is from RNAcentral.
GAUCAUGGCUCAGGACGAACGCUGGCGGCGUGCUUAACACAUGCAAGUCGAGCGAUGAAGCUCUUCGGAAGUGGAUUAGCGGCGGACGGGUGAGUAACACGUGGGUAACCUGCCUCAUAGAGGGGAAUAGCCUUCCGAAAGGAAGAUUAAUACCGCAUAAGAUUGUAAUAUCGCAUGAUAUAGCAAUUAAAGGAGUAAUCCGCUAUGAGAUGGACCCGCGUCGCAUUAGCUAGUUGGUGAGGUAACGGCUCACCAAGGCGACGAUGCGUAGCCGACCUGAGAGGGUGAUCGGCCACAUUGGGACUGAGACACGGCCCAGACUCCUACGGGAGGCAGCAGUGGGGAAUAUUGCACAAUGGGGGAAACCCUGAUGCAGCAACGCCCGCGUGAGUGAUGACGGUCUUCGGAUUGUAAAGCUCUGUCUUCAGGGAUGAUAAUGACGGUACCUGAGGAGGAAGCCACGGCUAACUACGUGCCAGCAGCAGC